Non-coding RNA from Desmophyllum pertusum, 81 nucleotides. The record is from the annotation of a GenBank genome assembly. NCBI's taxonomy places the organism in Eukaryota, Metazoa, Cnidaria, Anthozoa, Scleractinia, Caryophylliidae.
GAUACGGUGGCCUAAUGGUUAGUGCAUUGGACUUGAAUCAGAUCGAGCGGUCUGGGUUUCAAGCCCUGGCCAGCUGGAUCA